AUUUACAUUUCCACCCUUGAUGUUAAUGUUUAUCACUUGAUUCCCACUCUACCAAUUUUAUUAUAUUUUACUUGCAUUCGACCAUUUGAUCAUGUCACUGAUACUCCCUUAUCUCCUUUUUAUUUUUUUCUAUAGAUGGGAAGCCCAACACCGUUCGGCAAUGUACCGCCUUUCACCAGAGUCUACUACCCCUCCACGGACGACGACCAGUUGUUCAAUGCCCCUUUGGCGGCACUGUGUGCGUUUCUC
RNAcentral lists this long non-coding RNA (249 nucleotides) under Brachypodium distachyon (stiff brome). RNAcentral describes it as "long non-coding RNA (BDIS_LNC005527)". Lineage: Eukaryota; Viridiplantae; Streptophyta; Magnoliopsida; Poales; Poaceae. The record is from RNAcentral.